UUAUACCGUGAAACUGCGAAUGGCUCAUUAAAUCAGUUAUCGUUUAUUUGAUAGUACCUUACUACUUGGAUAACCGUGGUAAUUCUAGAGCUAAUACAUGCUAAAAACCCCGACUUCGGAAGGGGUGUAUUUAUUAGAUAAAAAACCAAUGCCCUUCGGGGCUCCUUGGUGAAUCAUAAUAACUUAACGGAUCGCAUGGCCUUGCGCCGGCGACGGUUCAUUCAAAUUUCUGCCCUAUCAACUUUCGAUUGUAGGGUAUUGGCCUACAAUGGUAUCAACGGGUAACGGGGAAUUAGGGUUCGAUUCCGGAGAGGGAGCCUGAGAAACGGCUACCACAUCCAAGGAAGGCAGCAGGCGCGCAAAUUACCCAAUCCCGACACGGGGAGGUAGUGACAAUAAAUACUGAUACAGGGCUCUUUUGGGUCUUGUAAUUGGAAUGAGUACAAUUUAAAUCCCUUAACGAGGAACAAUUGGAGGGCAAGUCUGGUGCCAGCAGCCGCGGUAAUUCCAGCUCCAAUAGCGUAUAUUAAAGUUGUUGCAGUUAAAAAGCUCGUAGUUGAACCUUGGGCCUGGCUGGCCGGUCCGCCUCACCGCGUGCACUGGUCCGGCCGGGCCUUUCCUUCUGGAGAACCGCAUGCCCUUCACUGGGUGUGUCGGGGAACCAGGACUUUUACUUUGAAAAAAUUAGAGUGUUCAAAGCAGGCCUUUGCUCGAAUACAUUAGCAUGGAAUAAUAGAAUAGGACGUGCGGUCCUAUUUUGUUGGUUUCUAGGACCGCCGUAAUGAUUAAUAGGGAUAGUCGGGGGCAUCAGUAUUCAAUUGUCAGAGGUGAAAUUCUUGGAUUUAUUGAAGACUAACUACUGCGAAAGCAUUUGCCAAGGAUGUUUUCAUUAAUCAGUGAACGAAAGUUAGGGGAUCGAAGACGAUCAGAUACCGUCGUAGUCUUAACCGUAAACGAUGCCGACUAGGGAUCGGGCGAUGUUAUUAUUUUGACUC
This 995-nucleotide ribosomal RNA is filed under the name Gloniopsis praelonga. RNAcentral describes it as "SSU rRNA". It matches the Rfam family "Eukaryotic small subunit ribosomal RNA", at positions 74 to 1077 of the family's 1831-position model. Lineage: Eukaryota; Fungi; Ascomycota; Dothideomycetes; Hysteriales; Hysteriaceae. The record is from RNAcentral.